UACGAAGGGGGCUAGCGUUGCUCGGAAUUAUUGGGCGUAAAGCGCACGUAGGCGGCUUAGCAAGUCGGAUGUGAAAUCCCUCGGCUCAACCAAGGAAGUGCAUCCGAAACUGCUGAGCUUGAGUACGAAAGAGGAUCGCGGAAUUCCCGGUGUAGAGGUGAAAUUCGUAGAUAUCGGGAGGAACACCAGUGGCGAAGGCGGCGAUCUGGGUCGAUACCGACGCUGAGGUGCGAAAGCGUGGGGAGCAAACAGG
RNAcentral lists this ribosomal RNA (253 nucleotides) under uncultured bacterium. RNAcentral describes it as "partial 16S ribosomal RNA". It matches the Rfam family "Bacterial small subunit ribosomal RNA", at positions 524 to 776 of the family's 1533-position model. The record is from RNAcentral.